This 497-nucleotide ribosomal RNA is filed under the name uncultured bacterium. RNAcentral describes it as "partial 16S ribosomal RNA". It matches the Rfam family "Bacterial small subunit ribosomal RNA", at positions 28 to 507 of the family's 1533-position model. The record is from RNAcentral.
GAUGAACGCUGGCGGCGUGCCUAAUACAUGCCAGUCGAGCGAACAGACGAGGAGCUUGCUCCUCUGACGUUAGCGGCGGACGGGUGAGUAACACGUGGAUAACCUACCUAUAAGACUGGGAUAACUUCGGGAAACCGGAGCUAAUACCGGAUAAUAUAUUGAACCGCAUGGUUCAAUAGUGAAAGACGGUUUUGCUGUCACUUAUAGAUGGAUCCGCGCCGCAUUAGCUAGUUGGUAAGGUAACGGCUUACCAAGGCGACGAUGCGUAGCCGACCUGAGAGGGUGAUCGGCCACACUGGAACUGAGACACGGUCCAGACUCCUACGGGAGGCAGCAGUAGGGAAUCUUCCGCAAUGGGCGAAAGCCUGACGGAGCAACGCCGCGUGAGUGAUGAAGGUCUUCGGAUCGUAAAACUCUGUUAUUGGGGAAGAACAAAUGUGUAAGUAACUAUGCACGUCUUGACGGUACCUAAUCAGAAAGCCACGGCUAACUACGUG